GAUUAUAGCAAUAUUAUUAAAGAGGAGUGGCGAACGGUGAGUAACACGUAGAUAAUCUGCCUUCGAGACGGGGACAACUCAGGGAAACUUGUGCUAAUACCCGAUGAGACCACAAGAAGGGAUUUUUGUGGCCAAAGGCGGGCAGCAAUGCUCGUGCUGAAAGAUGAGUCUGCGUCCUAUCAGCUAGUUGGUGGGGUAAAUCGCCUACCAAGGCUAAGACGGGUAGCCGGCCUGAGAGGGUGAACGGCCACACUGGGACUGAGACACGGCCCAGACUCCUACGGGAGGCAGCAGUGAGGAAUUUUCCGCAAUGGGCGCAAGCCUGACGGAGCGACGCCGCGUGAGGGAUGACAGCCUUUCGGGUUGUAAACCUCUUUCAUUAAGGAAAAAGAUCUAUAUGCUAAUAUCAUGUAGAUUUGAUGGUACUUAUUGAAUAAGCCCCGGCUAACUACGUGCCAGCAGCUGC
This 466-nucleotide ribosomal RNA is filed under the name uncultured bacterium. Its description in RNAcentral is "bacterial SSU rRNA". It matches the Rfam family "Bacterial small subunit ribosomal RNA", at positions 72 to 518 of the family's 1533-position model. The record is from RNAcentral.